Molecule: long non-coding RNA, 609 nt
Organism: Oreochromis aureus
Lineage: Eukaryota; Metazoa; Chordata; Actinopteri; Cichliformes; Cichlidae
Exons: 3
Source: RefSeq, a predicted model, not a curated record
UAUUACAGGCCUAGAUAAGCCUAUCUUCUCCAAAGUUUGAUUGUGUCAUUGUCCAGGUGAGUGGCUUUAAUUUUCCAUAGAGCUGGAGUUCCCACCUCUGGGCGGAGCUACCUUAUUCCAACCACGAUCUGCACCUGUUGGCAAUUUGGGCUGCCUGAAUGUAAGACCGGCGCUCUCAAUGAGUCUUUGCCAGAUCUUCUGCUAACCUGCAAAUCCUCCGGCUCAUCAUUUCACUUCCGGCAAUACUCACCACUUCCUGAGUCUGGUCUACUCGGUAAUCACAGUUGCAGCCCAACCUCUGUUGGAUAUCGAUUCACCUGCCUGCCUAACUGCUGCUACUCAAAGGAUUCACGGAAAACACUCCCUCUGGAACUUCGGCUUGUGGACACUCACCUGGACCACUCCGACUGCCUUCCCCUCAUGCCAGCCUCCACCUGCAAAACCUGUGGAGUUUACUACGAGGGGGACGCGAGGAAACAAGGCCCUCCAAUCUGACUCUUGGUGGCGCUGUCACUUGGUGUUUGCUCUCUCUGCGGUAGAGUAUCACUUCCUGUUCCUGCUCAAACACAGUGGUGUUUUUGAGUAGCUUAUCUGCUUUGCAAUUUAAUU